GAUGAACGCUAGCUACAGGCUUAACACAUGCAAGUCGAGGGGAAACGAUAGAGAAAGCUUGCUUUUUCUAGGCGUCGACCGGCGCACGGGUGAGUAACGCGUAUCCAACCUGCCCAUCACUUGGGGAUAACCUUGCGAAAGUAAGACUAAUACCCAAUGACGUCUCUAGAAGACAUCUGAAGGAGAUUAAAGAUUUAUCGGUGAUGGAUGGGGAUGCGUCUGAUUAGCUUGUUGGCGGGGUAAACGGCCCACCAAGGCGACGAUCAGUAGGGGUUCUGAGAGGAAGGUCCCCCANAUUGGAACUGAGACACGGUCCAAAACUCCUACGGGAGGCAGCAGUGAGGAAUAUUGGUCAAUGGACGAGAGUCUGAACCAGCCAAGUAGCGUGCAGGAUGACGGCCCUAUGGGUUGUAAACUGCUUUUAUAAGGGAUAAAGUGAGUCUCGUGAGACUUUUUGCAUGUACCUUAUGAAUAAGGACCGGCUAAUUCCGUAGCCAGCAGCCG
This 504-nucleotide ribosomal RNA is filed under the name uncultured bacterium. RNAcentral's name for it is "bacterial SSU rRNA". It matches the Rfam family "Bacterial small subunit ribosomal RNA", at positions 28 to 517 of the family's 1533-position model. The record is from RNAcentral.